AUGGACAUCAUCUUCACCAUCUUGGCAUCCAUCUCCGCGGCGUGCUCCGACAGGAAGAACCUUCCCAAGGCCCUCAUCUCCGGCGGGAUCUUCAAGGCCGCUGCGGCGCUGUGUCUCGUCUUCUUCCAGGGGCCGGGAGGCGUGUUCCUCCAUCACGGGAAGGCCCCCUACUACCUCUACUACGGCAUCCUCGUCACCAUUGCCAUCUUUGGGCUCGUGGAGGCGUCCGUGGGAUGCUGGGUUUCCGGGAGGCUGGAUGAUCGGCACGCCGCCGGGAAGGCGGUCCUCUGCGUGUCCUUCCUUCCUUUGAUCUGCGUGGCUGCCUUCGGGGGAUUCGUAGUCCUGAGGAAGGUGAACUAG
RNAcentral lists this ribosomal RNA (360 nucleotides) under Triticum aestivum (bread wheat). RNAcentral's name for it is "partial small subunit ribosomal RNA". The record is from RNAcentral. Lineage: Eukaryota; Viridiplantae; Streptophyta; Magnoliopsida; Poales; Poaceae.